RNAcentral lists this transfer RNA (105 nucleotides) under Nanobdellota archaeon. RNAcentral describes it as "tRNA-Glu". Lineage: Archaea; Nanobdellati; Nanobdellota. The record is from RNAcentral.
GCCCCGUUGGUGUAGCCCGGCCAAAUUAGCUAAGUAAGAACUUACUAAGGCUAUGCAUUAAGCCCUUUCGAGGCUUAGACUCGAGUUCGAAUCUCGGACGGGGCA